Long non-coding RNA from Gasterosteus aculeatus aculeatus (three-spined stickleback), 2931 nucleotides. The record is from Ensembl. NCBI's taxonomy places the organism in Eukaryota, Metazoa, Chordata, Actinopteri, Perciformes, Gasterosteidae.
UCAGAAUUCACAAGUGACAAGUGAUGUCAGCCAGCCGGGCCCUCGUGUCAACCCACGACAAAAAAGGGUUUUACUUAAAGAUGGAAUACAACAAACUGUUGAUCACAUGUUAGAUCUCUUUCUGAGGAGAAGAGAAGGAGAGGAUUUCUGACUUACUAUUAAUGUGCAGUGGUUUGAGAUACGGACUAAAUAAUUCAAAGCUACCAGCACAGUCAGUGUCAUGUCACACGAUGAUUGCAUCACAAAUUGUAAGCAUCAUACAGACGGGAGUUUCCAGUUGCAAAAUAUUUGUUAAAUAUUUUACAGAAUGUAUCUGGAGCAUUCACAGGGCCGAGAACCACCACGUACAUUCUACACAUGAAAAUUGACCACUGCCUUCAUUAAUAUUCAAGCAGCCCUUUGAUACGUCAAAUGGGUAAAGGUUGUUUAGUCUCUUUCUAUGUUUUUGAACGUGUAUCGCAGAAGUCGAAUCUACACUAUUGUAAUAAAGUACCUAUCAUUUUAAAAAUCAAACGAAAAAAACACAUUAUCAUUCAUAACCCACUGAUACAAGUUUAUGAUUGUAAGGCAGAUAUUCUGUAAGCUCUCCAGUAUAAACAUCAGCUCGUUGGUCAGAGAGGUUUUUUCAUUUCCUCUUUUUUUAAGCCAGAUAUAAUUUUCUAUAUUUGAUCAAUACAAUGUAUUUGUGGGUCUUUAUGAAGCUGCUGUGUCUUCAUUAGCAGCGCUUACAGAGAUGGUUAUUCUUUGUUUUCAUUACUGGAGUGUAAUCUCAAGAUUUGUUUGUCUCGUUAGCAUGAAAGCUUUUUUUUGUCUUAUAAUAAUGAAUUAUGUAUCACAUAUACACACUAAAAUAUUUGUAUUUGUCCAGGAGGAGUGCUUGAUGUUAAUCACAUCUUUUGGCCAUUCUUUACAUUGCAAAGUUUAUGCAAAGUUUAGUCAAAUCCUCGAGGGCACUAGUUACGAAAUGCACUUCCCUAUUCUUCAUGACUGAAAACGAAGGUGGCACUAAUGAACAGUUACAUCGUGCUAUGACAGACUAAAUUAGCUACAUUUAAAUCUCAAAUCUUACCCCAGAGCUUAAACUAAACUGUUAAUGCCUGUUACCAAGUGAAAUUGAAAAAUAAAGACCAGACAACCCAGGCAAACUAAUAUGUGGAACUAAUUGCAUGGCAUAUUUUACCUCUGAAACUUUCUCAAGCAUAAAGACAUUAAUAUCAACUCCCCACUUGCUCUCUGCUUAAGUGCACUUUGAGAUUAAAAAGCAGAAGUGUGCGAAACUACCCCGCUUUCCUCAUGACGGACACUCAUUCUUAGUUUGUGCCGUUUCCACUUUAACUCCCUUUUAAUGCCCAUCGUGCGGUAACGGCUGUAGACAAUCGGGGGGCCGAUGAGAAGGGCAAGUGUCUGUGUUUGUGUUCCCUCAUGCAUUCACUCGUAACCACACUGCGAGUAUGGGGACUGUGGAGUCCUAUUGAGAGUGAUGUCACAUACUCUCCCACCCUGCAAACAACAAAUCACCUUCACCCCAUCUAUAAUACAUAUCCACAUCCACCCCUGGAGGUUUUAUCGGCUAAAUACCCUUCAGUCGGACAUCGAAGGCAUAAGUCUGUGGUUAAAUUUGCCUUUGCACCUCCGAGUGGCACAUCCGACUAGGAGACAACCGAUAAAAGGUACCUUUAAAAACAGCAUUUGGGGUCUUUUCAUGGUAAUGAAGAUGGAGGAACUGCACUCCUGACGGCGUCACUAGAUAAACAAACCUGGGAUCUAUUCGAGCUUGGAGCAGGAGGGAGUGUUUGGGCCGAGUGAGGCAAACACAACAUGGUUGAUAUCUGCAUCUUUGCAUGUUUUUGUGGAUGCUGAGAUUAAAAAAAGAUUGUCGCUCUUCGUUCGGGUACUAACGUGCUACGUGUGCACGUGUGCAACUUCACAAAUGGAAUCUUGUGGCUGCACUUUGAGGUGGAAGCAGCCUAGCAGAGGGGAAGAUGUAUAUUUCAUUAAUGCGCAGUAUGACCUCUCGGGCUGCACACCUUUAUCCGGCCUGCUGCUGAAUCUUAAAAUCGCUCUCCACAGCUUCCUCCACCGUCGGUGUGAGCAAGUGGAGAGAGGAAGGCUGCAUAGGGGGAUAUUGAGGUUUCAGGUUCAUUUUGUCUGGUCGAAGAGUGUGUGUAUUUCGAUUUUUAUUGUAUUAUUUUCACUUUUUGCAAGAAGUAAAAGGUAAAGUGAUUCCAAAACUAUCAUAUCCCCCCGGUGAAGGGAGCUUCAGCUGAGGAUCACACUGCGAUGAGCCCGUGGAGGUGAUGGGUUAUUAAGAGCCGAGGUGAAAAGGUGAGGGCAGGAUCACCACGCAGAGGAUCCAAAAAAGGAAAUCGUAGAUAGCUCGAUGCUGCCGGGAAGAUUGCUUUCCAACACAUUAAAGAACCUUGAGUUAAUAAACACAGCUGAGUUGUGGUGGUACGGGCCGGGAGGAUCCUACUGCUGAAUAGAAAGUGAUAAAAACUCAACCUUGUGUUUUCAAAUGUUAGGCUUUUCUUCUUACCUGUGAAUUUCAUACAAGCACUCUAGAGAUUGCUUCACGUCCCAGUUACAGUUCUUUUUUUAGGAAGCCUUUCAUGUGCUUGGAUAUAGAAAUGCACUUCUAAUAUCUAGCGGGAAAAUUUCCCUGCAUGCAUGUACCCAAAAGUAGAAAAAGAUCUUCUCCAGGCAUUCCUGCCAAUGACUUGGCACUCAAAGAAAGCCAGUUAAAGCCACAGUGAGCUUGCAGAAACUAAGAUUAAAAUGUUUGCAUGCAUUGCCACCUCAAAUUAGCAAGAUAAUUCAGUGCUUUCUUAAUUUUUCACCAUGGCUGAGCUAGAGUCUCCUCUACCUUCCUGUGAACAUGACACAUUCUUGAGUCUGAAGAUGUUAAAUAUGGUAAUUUGUAUUCCUCCAUUA